GAUGAAGAACGCAGCGAAAUGCGAUAAGUAGUGUGAAUUGCAGAAUUCAGUGAAUCAUCGAAUCUUUGAACGCACAUUGCGCCCCUUGGUAUUCCAUGGGGCAUGCCUGUUCGAGCGUCAUGGGUACCUUCAAGCUUUGCUUGGUGUUGGGUGUUUGUCUCGCCUUUGCGUGUAGACUCGCCUUAAAAUAAUUGGCAGCCGGCGUAUUGAUUUCGGAGCGCAGUACAUCUCGCGCUUUGCACUCAUAACGACAGCGUCCAAAAGUACAUUUUACACUCUUGACCUCGGAUCAGGUAGGGAUACCCGCUGAACUUAAGCAUAUCAAUAAGCGGAGGA
Molecule: unclassified non-coding RNA, 336 nt
Filed under: soil metagenome
Description: partial contains 5.8S ribosomal RNA, internal transcribed spacer 2, and large subunit ribosomal RNA
Rfam family: 5.8S ribosomal RNA (bases 1-120)
Source: RNAcentral